Molecule: small RNA, 105 nt
Filed under: Caenorhabditis elegans
Lineage: Eukaryota; Metazoa; Nematoda; Chromadorea; Rhabditida; Rhabditidae
Description: Unclassified non-coding RNA C52E4.19
Source: RNAcentral
GUGCUCGUUUUGAUGAUGGACAAGGAGGUGACAAUGAAGUUCAACGUACUAUGCUCGAGUUGAUUAACCAACUUGACGGAUUCGAUCCACGUGGAAACAUCAAGG